This 742-nucleotide ribosomal RNA is filed under the name Salmonella enterica subsp. enterica serovar Paratyphi A. Its description in RNAcentral is "bacterial SSU rRNA". The stretch from base 78 to 742 matches the Rfam family "Bacterial small subunit ribosomal RNA", at positions 1 to 655 of the family's 1533-position model. Lineage: Bacteria; Pseudomonadati; Pseudomonadota; Gammaproteobacteria; Enterobacterales; Enterobacteriaceae. The record is from RNAcentral.
ACGAAAAAUGAAUACCAAGUCUCAAGAGUGAACACGUAAUUCAUUACGAAGUUUAAUUCAUUGAGCAUCAAACUUUUAAAUUGAAGAGUUUGAUCAUGGCUCAGAUUGAACGCUGGCGGCAGGCCUAACACAUGCAAGUCGAACGGUAACAGGAAGCAGCUUGCUGCUUUGCUGACGAGUGGCGGACGGGUGAGUAAUGUCUGGGAAACUGCCUGAUGGAGGGGGAUAACUACUGGAAACGGUGGCUAAUACCGCAUAACGUCGCAAGACCAAAGAGGGGGACCUUCGGGCCUCUUGCCAUCAGAUGUGCCCAGAUGGGAUUAGCUUGUUGGUGAGGUAACGGCUCACCAAGGCGACGAUCCCUAGCUGGUCUGAGAGGAUGACCAGCCACACUGGAACUGAGACACGGUCCAGACUCCUACGGGAGGCAGCAGUGGGGAAUAUUGCACAAUGGGCGCAAGCCUGAUGCAGCCAUGCCGCGUGUAUGAAGAAGGCCUUCGGGUUGUAAAGUACUUUCAGCGGGGAGGAAGGUGUUGUGGUUAAUAACCGCAGCAAUUGACGUUACCCGCAGAAGAAGCACCGGCUAACUCCGUGCCAGCAGCCGCGGUAAUACGGAGGGUGCAAGCGUUAAUCGGAAUUACUGGGCGUAAAGCGCACGCAGGCGGUCUGUCAAGUCGGAUGUGAAAUCCCCGGGCUCAACCUGGGAACUGCAUUCGAAACUGGCAGGCUUGAGUCUUGUAGA